This 791-nucleotide ribosomal RNA is filed under the name uncultured bacterium. RNAcentral describes it as "bacterial SSU rRNA". It matches the Rfam family "Bacterial small subunit ribosomal RNA", at positions 8 to 796 of the family's 1533-position model. The record is from RNAcentral.
AGAGUUUGAUCAUGGCUCAGAUUGAACGCUGGCGGCGUGCCUAACACAUGCAAGUCGAGCGGCAGCGCGGGAGCAAUCCUGACGGCGAGCGGCGGACGGGUGAGCAAUAUUUGGGAAUCUGCCUAUUAGUGGGGGACAACCCGGGGAAACUCGGGCUAAUACCGCAUACGCACUACGGUGGAAAGCCGGGGACCGCAAGGCCUGGCGCUAAUAGAUGAGCCCAAAUCGGAUUAGCUAGUUGGUGAGGUAAUGGCUCACCAAGGCUACGAUCCGUAGCUGGUCUGAGAGGACGACCAGCCACACCGGAACUGAGACACGGUCCGGACUCCUACGGGAGGCAGCAGUGGGGAAUAUUGGACAAUGGGCGAAAGCCUGAUCCAGCGACGCCGCGUGGGUGAAGAAGGCCUGCGGGUUGUAAAGCCCUUUCGGUGGGGAAGAAAAGCCUCGACUUAAUACGUUGGGGUCUUGACGUAACCCAAGAAAGAAGCACCGGCUAACUCUGUGCCAGCAGCCGCGGUAAUACAGAGGGUGCGAGCGUUAAUCGGAAUUACUGGGCGUAAAGCGCGCGUAGGCGGCUUUGCAAGUCGAGUGUGAAAUCCCCAGGCUUAACCUGGGAACUGCUCUCGAGACUGCAUAGCUAGAGUAUGGGAGAGGGAAGUGGAAUUUCAGGUAGCGGUGAAAUGCGUAGAUAUCUGAAGGAACAUCAGUGGCGAAAGCGACUUCCUGGACCAAUACUGACGCUCAUGUGCGAAAGCGUGGGGAGCAAACAGGAUUAGAUACCCUAGUAGUCC